UACGGAGGGUGCGAGCGGUGUUCGGCAUCACUGGGCGUAAAGCGCGUGUAGGCGGACUGGCAAGUCUGGUGUGAAAGCCCGGGGCUCACCCCCGGAAGUGCACUGGAAACUGCCAGACUCGAGUCCCGGAGAGGAGAGUAGAAUUCCUGGUGUAGCGGUGAAAUGCGUAGAUAUCAGGAGGAAUACCGGUGGCGAAGGCGCCUCUCUGGACGGUGACUGACGCUGAGACGCGAAAGCGUGGGGAGCAAACAGG
This 253-nucleotide ribosomal RNA is filed under the name uncultured bacterium. RNAcentral's name for it is "partial 16S ribosomal RNA". It matches the Rfam family "Bacterial small subunit ribosomal RNA", at positions 524 to 776 of the family's 1533-position model. The record is from RNAcentral.